AUUCACACCCUGCGCCUCCUCCACCGCCAUUUUUAUACUCCUACUAUUUAGUGCGGACCUCCCUCCCAGCUGCUACAGUCCUACUCCUACUAUUCAUCCAUCCGUCUCACUAGCUAGCAGCUUCUCCUUCUCCUCCUUCUCUCUCUCUCUCUCUCUCUCUCCAUGCCAGCCUAGCCUAGCCUAGCUGGUACUUAUCUCACUCCCACUCCUCGCAAUAUCUUCUUCUUCCUCCUCCUCAAUUUCCCCUUCUCUCCCCCCUUUUCCUCACCUCUUUCCAGGCCAGGUGUGCCGGCCGGCGCGCGCGUUUCCACUAGCGGAGCCUCUUCAUGCAUGCACUGCUCAUGGCUCCGCGCCCUCGCCCGUCCGCCUCACUCCCACAGUAGCCGCCGCCUAACAACAACUCAACAGUGAGCAGCUACCGCAAGACAAUUCCCCUCUGCGGCGACUGAGGAGGUGAGGGCCGGAGCCAUGCAGCAGCCGGCCGACAUGCCGCCCUUCUCCCCGCCCGGCUGGCGCGGGCCCGCCGGGGCGCCCUCGCCCAUCAGCAGCCGCCCGCCCGCGCCGGCCCCGGCUCCGGCUCCUGCGCCAGGACAGCAGCACCAGCAACACCAGCAGCAACAUCAGCAGAUGGACGAGCAGCACGGGGGGGGCGGCGGUGAGCGGGUCGGGCUCCGGGAGCGUGGACGGCGGCGAGGAGGGCGAGCGCGGCGGGUCGUCGUCGGCGGCGGGCGGCAACCGGUGGCCGCGGCAGGAGACGCUGGCGCUGCUCAAGAUCCGGUCCGAGAUGGACGCCGCCUUCCGGGAGGCCGCCCUCAAGGGCCCGCUCUGGGAGCAAGUCUCCAGGCGGCUGGCGGAGAUGGGGCACACGAGGAGCGCCAAGAAGUGCCGCGAGAAGUUCGAGAACGUCGACAAGUACUACCGCCGCACCAAGGACGGCCGCACCGGCCGCGGCGACGGCAAGACCUACCGCUUCUUCACCGAGCUCGAGGCGCUCCACGGCGCCUCUGCCGCGCACCACCCGCCGCCUGCUCACGUGGCCGUCGCGCCACCGUCCGCCCCAGCCGCGAGCACAAUUGGCGCGUACUCCGGCGUGCCCUCGGCGCCUUCGCGCGUCCUGCUGGCCGAGCCGUCUCCGCCGCCCCUUCUCCUAACGCAUCAGCCGGUGUCUACCGAGGCGGCCGCAUGCCUGACGACGACGACGGCGGCGGUGGUGGGCGACGCGAGCUUCUCUGAUGGCUCGGACGGGGAGGACACGGACGAGACGGCCGACGGCGGGAAGCGGAAGAGGCGGGGCGGGAGCGGGAGCUGGGGCCAUGGCGGCAAGGCCAUGAGGUUCUUUGAAGGGCUGAUGCGGCAGGUCAUGGAGCGGCAGGAGGCCAUGCAGAGCCGCCUCCUGGAGGCCAUCGAGCGGCGCGACCAGGACCGCAUGAUCCGCGAGGAGGCCUGGCGCCGGCAGGAGGUGGCGCGCCUCGCCCGCGAGCAGGACGCGCUCGCGCAGGAGCGCGCCGUGGCCGCCUCCCGCGACGCCGCCGUCGUCUCCUUCAUCCAGAGGAUCACCGGGCAGAUCGUCCCCGUGCACGCGCCGCCAUCGUCCUUCCCCGCUAAGCCGGCCGCCACCGUCAACUCGGUCAAGCCGCCGGCGCUGCAGCCGACGCCCGUCGCCUCCGCUGCGCCCGCACCUCCUACUCCACGGCCGCCCGUUCAGGCGCAGCCGAACGUGACUACGCCAAUGAGAACACAACCGCAGACGCCGCCGCCGCAGCCACAGCAGCACGCAACGCCGACGGCGACAGAGCCACAGCCAGUGACGCCGCAGCCGCAGCACCUACAGAGCAAGGAGAUCGUCGUCGUCCACGCGGCGGAGCAGCCGCCGGUGGACAUGGCCGGCGGCGCGUCGCCGUCUCGGUGGCCCAAGGCGGAGGUGCACGCGCUGAUCCAGCUGCGGACGGAGAUGGAGACGCGGUACCAGGACACGGCGCCCAAGGGCCCGCUGUGGGAGGACAUCUCGGUGGGGAUGCGGCGGCUGGGCUACAACCGGAGCUCCAAGCGGUGCAAGGAGAAGUGGGAGAACAUCAACAAGUACUUCAAGAAGGUCAAGGAGAGCAGCCGGAAGCGCCCCGAGGACUCCAAGACCUGCCCCUACUUCCACCAGCUCGACGCGCUCUACCGCACCAAGGCGCUCGCAUCCUCCUCCUCCUCCUCCCCCGUCGUCCAUGCGCCGGUCACCGUGCUCUCGCCGGUGCCGCUGUCUUCCCAGACGCCACCUCCUGCGGCGCAGCACGUCGAGCACGGGGCCAAGAGCUCGAUCACCAACGGCAACGGCCAUGGGAACGGUAACGGCGCGGCCAUGCAAGUGAAGGCGAGCAACGGCGCCGGUGCUGCGGCGAUGUUCCCCUCCCCCGUCCAUGCCGCCGGCAACGGCGGCAACAACGGCACGGCGACGAACAAACUGGAAUCCAAGCAAGAAGUUAUCCCGAAGGAGACGGCAACGGUGGUACCGCCGGCCGUGGCCAUGAACCACAGCUACGGCCGCAACGACAGGAGGGACGUGUACGACCUGGACAGCGACAGCAUGGACGAGGACGAGGAGGACGACUUCGACGACGACGACGACGACGACGACGAGGAAGACGACGCCGUCGGCGUCCCCGGCGGCCGCAACAUCAACAUGCCGCCGGCGCAGUACGACGCCCACUUCCUCCAAAGGCAGCAUCAGCAGCAACAACAUCAGAACCACAACCACAACCACAACGUCGUCCGGCCCAACGCAGCGAACGGCAGCGGCAACCCGCCGGCGGGCAACGCGGCGCCUACAUCUGCCCCGGCGACAAGCGGGACGCCAUUCCUGGCCAUGGUCCAGUGAUGAUCGAGCAAGACGACGACGACGACGCUAGCGCUACAAACCAAGAAAGCCCAGGUGGUACCGAUCUCGAUCUCUCGUGUGCCCAUACGGAUCUACAUCUCCACAUGCAUGCCCACUUGAUCGAUCGAUUGAUACCCCCUGCCUGCCUGCCUGCCGGUGCUAGCUAGGUAAAAACCCUACACAGAAAAUUUACUUUUGCUCCUUCCAAUCCAACCCAAUCCAACAACCCUAAAUUAUUUCCAUUAUUGUUAUUAUUGUUAUUAUUCCUGGUGCACAUAUAUAUAUAUAUAUGGGCGGCGUAUACAUGAUGUACAUGUCACACAUCUUCACCACACUGUACGUAGAGGCACGGUAAAUUAAAAGGCGUGGGAAUUUACCUUUUUAUUUUUUGAGGAUACUUUUGGAGUUACCAUUUUUGUCUAAAAAAAGUUACUGUCCAGCAUGUGUCAUGUAAGAAUUUUGUGCUCUUGUUAAAUGUUGAUGACUGUCAAGAACUUUACACUUGGUAAA
Triticum aestivum (bread wheat) is the source of this 3373-nucleotide RNA transcript. It is a transcript of the gene named trihelix transcription factor GTL1-like, with no coding region annotated. The record is from RefSeq and is a predicted model, not a curated record. The transcript is spliced from 3 exons. NCBI's taxonomy places the organism in Eukaryota, Viridiplantae, Streptophyta, Magnoliopsida, Poales, Poaceae.